UUGGAGGGUGAAACCUCUGUAUCGUAAUAAAUAAUCGAUAUUAUUCUUGGACUAUCGAGGAAUAGCCGGGAUUAAAGAGGAACCUUUGAAUCCGUUGAAAUUUAUCCGAUAAAACCUCUCUCUGUUGAGAUCUGCGUAUCUUCAAGCAAAGGAUUCCCUUCCUUCAAGUAACUCUUUUCCAUUUACAUUAAAAGUUAAUCCUAGAAACGGUUGAUCUAAGAAUACUGUAUUCAAAGUACAGAGGAUUAUCUGUUAAAAUGAUUAAAUCGGUAUUAUGUUAGAUAAAUAAUAAUAAUAAUAAUAAUAAUAGUUGAAAGUCAUAGAGAGGUAAUCAUUAAGAAAUAAUUAUCUAUAUGAAUCAGUAAACAGAUUUUGUAUUGUUAAUGCGUUUAAAGCGAAGGCGCUGAAAGGUGUUGAUACGGCCCUGCCCGCUCGUGUGCGUGACGUUGAGGCGUACACGCGAGCACACGCUCACGCUGCUCGCGUGUCAACUACCGUAACCGUCGAGUACAUCGGGGAUUUCACAGUGGACGGGGUCGGGGCUGAAAGGAAGGGGCUGGAAAAAAGGUGUGAAUGCCGGAUGGCAUUCAUUCAAAUGCCGUCCAAUCACAGCAUCGUACUCCAGGUCGAGUGGCAGGGCCGGCGUACCAUCGGGAAUUAUUAAGUCCUUGCGAUUCUCUGUUGCGUUAACCAUACAGAUUAACCCAAAUCCGAGCAUUAACCGAGUUCACUCUCCCUGUUAAUCAUUAAUCAUUGAAAUAUUGAAAUUGUAAAGCUUAAUAGCUAGAUUGCCGGACUCGCAUCCGUCAAAAUAGGUAUAGCAUAUAUGAAUUUUUGGAACUAAGGAGUGGGGGGGAAGGAAUUAGUAUUUAUAUACAUUUCAUAAUUCUAUUGAAAAUCAACAUAUGUUUAAAAAAAAAAUUAUUUAAGUUUUUCUAUAUAUGUAGCAAUUAUAAAAUUCCAAUUCAUGUAUGCUUAUGAGAUUUUUUUUUAAAUUUCAUGGGUCAUUAUAAACUUAAAUAAUUUCAUUCUGGCUCUUGAUUUGAGGUUGUAUUCACAGUCUAAUUUAGCAUGAUCAUGCAAAAGUCAGAAGUACUGUUAAUGAGUGAUCUGUUCCCCUAGGUCGCGGUAUUUACAGGUUGUACUACUUGAAGCACUCACUGCAUCCUUAAAUCAGUAUCCAGUCAUCAUGAAAAAAUGAUUAAAUUAUUUCAUGUGCUGGUUCUCAGUGAUUCAUGCUUGACGAAUCGGUUCACUUUCACUGUUGGAUAAUGAAGAAAUCUAUUUGGAGAAAGUUUUGAGGGAAAAUGCGUGGCAGGGCAGGCUCUACUCGUGGCAGACGGUACUUCCCUGGAGUUCCUCUUUAACAUACAAUCCAGGGUGCAAUGCAGUCUCCGGUGCAACGGUUGUACGACAAUUGCCAGCUGAUUGCGAUCUUUCACCCGGGGGAGAGAGAGAGAGAGAAAAAAAAAUUAGCGACGCAGCCCGCAAUCAGCGUGUCUCAGAAGCGGCCGUCGCGGCCAGGUCUGCUGUAUCGACCUAAUACUCGGUGCUUCAACAGCACCUCGUAAAAUACGGUGAUUACUGCACGUGCUUUCGGGGAGAAAACCAUAAUAGCCGACCCUGACCGUUGAGAAAUUGUCCCAACGGAACGAACCAGUCAGGAAGAAUCCUCCUACACAAUUUAUCGAUGCAGUAAUUCCGUCUCAAACGCUGCUACUGAUUGAAUCUUGAAAACUCGAGGAAAUUGGAUAACGAUACUUGGACAGGAAUAACUUUGCAUUUAGGGAUCUCCUUGAAAAUUUUUCUACAGAAGGAAAUAUUAUUACAAUGAUUGAAUUAAUUACGUUCGAUAAAAUUUCCCAUGAAAAGCUUCGAAAUUUAUUCGGGCUCGAGCCUCGUGACGAGCAAUUAAACGCAAAAACGAGAGAGGAUUCCCUGCAGUCGAGGGGGAGGGGGGGAUGAUGGGAUCGCCGAACAAGAUCGAUGAAAGUUACUUGUCUUUCAGCUAGAGUGUAUCAGUUUCAACGCUGGAAAAUCUGUACGCGAAACAGGAUCCACCGGCUCGAACCUGGGUCACUGGAAUUCGAACUCCAACAAUCCCGAACAUGUAAAUUGCCGUACGAGGGAGGUGGAAGAUUUGAAAAUUGAAAUUUUGAAGAAAUUUUACUGGUCCCUGGUGUCUUCUGGAGUGCAAGGAGAAAGGAUUUAAAAAAAAUGGAAGCCCCAUGUUCGAUAAGCAUUGUUUCCUACGGAAGGCUAUUUACCGUCAGGCAAGAAAUUUAAUACAACUCGUUGGAGCUGUUGAAACCGAGGUAGCUCGGUGCAUACGCUCCUCUGUCACUGUCGUCGACGCGACGAGGAGAGGUAAGCGGAGGAGAAAAAUUUCGACGUCUGCGUGCGAGGGUUCGACAGCCUGAGAACGAGCAGAAGGAGCCAGGACUCGUCGCACACUGGCACAGAAUCAAUUUUCCAUGGCGAAUCUAUAUUUUAGUUUUCACCAAGAGUUACCGGCACCUUUUUUCUUCCACGGAAAGAAACUAUGCAGAGGAGAUGCGAUAAAAAAUCCAUUCAUGGAUUGAAAUAACCUGUUGCAUUAAUUAAAAAAGGAGAUCCAAAAAAAAUAUUCAACCAGUUGAAACAGGGUUAGAAUCAAUAAACUCAUUGAGCUUUGAAAGGUGUGUCAGCAACGGUACCCGGUUCGAAGAAAUCAUCGAAAUCAUAGAGACAGGAAAAGGAAGUGGAAAAAUCGACUUUAGUCCGGUAGAAAAAUUGAUUCAGCGUCGUCUGGAGGAGCCCGUGGGCCGUGGCGAGUACGCGAAAAGAAGAGCC
Molecule: long non-coding RNA, 2832 nt
Organism: Osmia lignaria (orchard mason bee)
Lineage: Eukaryota; Metazoa; Arthropoda; Insecta; Hymenoptera; Megachilidae
Source: RefSeq, a predicted model, not a curated record